ACGAUAACUUAUUCAUUUUUGUCCAUAAAAAAUGUUCACCUUAUCACCAUCGGUAGCUCUAUAAAUGGAUUCUCCCAUCUUCCGCUUAUUCACACAACUGAACUGAACAGAACAAAGAAGAGAAUAACCUUAAUCUGAACAGAAAUGGCGAGUGCAACGCUUAUUGCUCUCUUCCUUCUUUCAGCCCUAACUUUCUACGCUCCUUCAAACACCGCUCAAUUUGUCAAGGACUCGAGUGGUAACAUCGUUAAAAAUAGUGGCAGAUUCUAUAUAUUGCCGUCACUAUUAGGAAACUACAGAGGUGGAAUUCGAAACCUUCGAACAGGUAACGAAUCUAUCCCUCUCUCUGUUGUGCAGUCUCCCUUCCAGGACGAUAAAGGGCUUCCAGUUACCAUUAGCUUCGAAUAUAUCCCUGUAGGUGUAGCACUAGUGUCCCUUAGCUUCGAAUAUACUCCUGAAGGAACCCCUCUUGAGUGGACCGCCGUUGAGGGUUUUCCUGAAGGAACCCUCGUUAAAAUUGGUGGUUAUUACCCAAAGCCAAUCAUCGGUUCUUUCUAUAUGAGAGAUUCUAUAUUUGGAACGAAGGACUCCUAUAAUCUUUUGUUCUGCAGAAGCCUCCCGGCUUGCAGUAAUGUUACUAUUGUUAAGAGCGAUGGGAACUUGGUUUUGGCUGUCACUCAGGAGAAUCCAUACGAGUUUUAUCUUGAGACAUAUCUGCCAACAUCUGCUGAUGCAUGAAAAGUCGCGCACUUUCUUCUUGUGAUAGCCGGUGAUACUAUAUGCUUUGGGUGUAAUAAACCAAUGCAUGCUAAAUAANAUAACCGGUAUUUGGUUUUUCUAACGUUCAUAUUUGUACCUGUGCUACUAUAUGCUUUGGGUGUAAUAAACCAAUGCAUGCUAAAUAAAAUAAGCGGUAUUUGGAUUUCCUAUCGUUCAUAUUUCUAGGACCACCAUAGACAAUUUUAUCCUUUUGCUCUAAAGCCAUUGCUUUGGUUUAUCUCUUUCUUUCCAUCAAGAAAAAAAAGUGUCUAAAAUGAAAAAGGAUAUGUUUAUUCAAACUUCUCUUCAUAUACAUUAAAACUUUAAAAAAUAUAUCUUCACACAAUUAUUAAAUCUAUUAUAAAUUUUUUAAUACAAUAUUAAUUUAUAAAGUUGUAACAUUAUGUAUGUAUGUAUUAGUGCAAAAACGCUAUUUAACGUCACCCUUUAGACGUCGGUUAAGGGUAAGCACGACAUAUAUUGAUGAUCGGUGGUAUUUUUGUAAAUAAGUUGGCCAUAUAAACAUCAGUUAGAAGGUGCCCAGACGUUUAUAAUAUUUUAGACGUCGGGGCCCCUCCUAACUGACGUCUAUAUGUCUGACAGGUGAGUGAAAAGUCAUUUUUUUCAGUCAUAUAGACGUUAGUUAGGAGAGGUCCUGACGUCUAUAUGGCGGAAAUUAAUGGUUAUUCAUCUACCUGUCAGACAUAUAGACAUCAAUUGGGAGAGCCCCGACGUCUAAAAUAUUAUAGAUGUCUGUUAUUCUGGAACCGACGUCUAAACCCUAAAUCCAAAAAUUUAAAAAGUCACUUUUUUGACUCCAUUUAGACGUUUGAUCUCGCCACUCCAACUUCUAAAGCACUUUAGACGUCUGUUAUUCUAGGAACCGACAUCUAAACCCUAAAUCCAAAAGUUUAAAAUGUCACUUUUUGACUCCAUUUAGAAGUCUGAUCCCGCCACUCCGACUUCUAAAGCACUUUAGACGUCUGUUAUUCUGGGAACCGACGUCUAAACCCUAAAUCCAGAAAUUUAAAAAGUCACUUUUUGACUCCAUUUAGACGUCUGAUCCCGCCACUCCGACUUCUAAAGCACUUUAGACGUCUGUUAUUCUGGGAACCGACGUCUAAACCCUAAAUCCAGAAAUUAAAAAAGUCACUUUUUGACUCCAUUUAGACGUCUGAUCCCGCCACUCCGACUUCUAAAGCACUUUAGACGUCUGUUAUUCUAGGAACCGACAUCUAAACCCUAAAUCCAAAAAUUUAAAAUGUCACUUUUUGACUCCAUUUAGACGUCUGAUCCCGUCACUCCGACUUCUAAAGCACUUUAGAGGUCUGUUAUUUUGGGAACCGACGUCUAAACCCUAAAUCCAGAAAUUUAAAAAGUCACUUUUUCACUCCAUUUAGACGUCUGAUCCCGUAACUCCGACUUCUAAAGCCCUUUAGACGUCCGUUAUAGGGGAACCGACUUCUAAAUGUCGGCAUUAAAACACCGUGAUCGCGAGACCGCCAUUAUGAGCACUCAUUGCUCCUCAUCUUCGUCGCGUUUUCUCUCUACAGGUUACGCUUUUCAGGUUUGUUUUCUCGUUUUUGCACCGUUUUAAAUUAGUUUUACUCUGAUUACAUCACUCUUUCACUAGUACAAAACGGGCUUUUUAAGUCUGUUAUUUCGGGCUUUUUAAGUCUGUUUUACAACAGACUUUGAUUCGGCAGACGUAAAUUUUAAGUUUGUUGUUGACCAACAGACUUAAAUUUUAAGUUUGUUAUUGACCAACAGACUUAAAGUUUAAGUCUGUUGUUGACCAACAGACUUAGAUCUUCAUACAAUUAUAAAUAAAAAUGGCACCAAAUUUAAGUCUGUUGUGAACAUAACAGACUUAAAUUUAAUAUAUAUAUAUAUAUAUAUAUAUAUAUAUAUAUAUAUAUAUAUAUAUAUAUAUAUAUAUAUAUAUAUAUAUAUAUAUAUAUCAGAAUAUAUAUUGAAAUUAAAUGUCAAUCUUGGAAUUAAAUGUAGGAAAUUAAGUUAAAGAGAAGGUAAUAGAAUUAUCAAAGAGUAAUAUUACAUUUUCACACAACAAUGCAAGCAUUAUAUGACACUAACCCUCAGAUUUUUAAGAUGAAUAUCAAAAUGAUAUGAGACCAAGCCUUUGCACUUUAACAACAACCUCUUGCCCAUUUAAUCUUGCACGAUGAACCUGUCCUGCAACAGGGAAAAAGAUAUUCAAAUUUCUUUCUUCUCAUCAAAUAUUAAACCUAAAACCAAGGUACAUUUAAUAUGGUUUCCUGAACCCAAGAAAUCAGGUAACUUAGGCUUUUAGUAAAUGCAGAAGUUAAUACAUUUCAUACUUCUCAAUUUAACGUCAAACAACAUCAAUUGUUGUCAAACUAAAUAGAUAAGAGUUACACCUAUAUCUAAAGAAUACAAUAAUAACAACACAUGAUUGCUUAAUAUAGGCAAACAAAUAAAAUAAAUAAAUAAAUUUUAGAUUAAUACCUUCAACCAUAAACAUCCUUAUAGGGGUUCAUAAGUAAUGAACAAAUUUUCAAAGAACUUUAGCAGUAAAAUGCACACAGACUGAAAUUGAUUCAUCAAUAUCCAUAUCACGACCAUAAAAUAAAAUCAAAUACGUCCAAUAACAUUAUAUAUAUAUAUAUAUAUAUAUAUCCAUGUACCAACAACAUUAUUGUAGCAUCAAUAAAACUCAUUCAACUGCAGAUUUAUUAUUUUGUAAAAAAGUUAACAGUUUAACUUAUUUUAAGCAAUGUUAACCUUAUUCUCUUCUUAAAGUAAUUUUAAAUUAUUCAUUCAGACAUUUCUUAGGGCCUCCUACAGUAUAAUAUGGAUUGUAUUUAUUAAGAGUGAGAACAAAUCAGGCCUAGUAAAAACAUGCUAGACUAAUCUCUUAUUCACUUAAUCUCUUAAUGGAAUUGGUAGUUCAGAUUCUUAUUAAUUAAUCUAGCAUCUAUUCGAUUAUAUUCUUAAUGCACGUAAGAUGGUUAAUCAAAAUCAAUGAGUGAAACCAAGUGGUAUAGCUCAUCUGAUGCAAGAAAAUAUGACCUUAUGGAGAAAAUUGAUAUGUAAGGAAUUGCAACAGUUAUUCCACCAUCACUUAAUGAAUACCGUGAGAAAAGAACCCCAUAUAACAUCCUAAUAGCUUAGAGAACGAGUAUCACAUCUUAUAUUUGACAAAGAAGCUUUUCCAUUCAUUCAAAACACAAAUCAACAAUAUAUAUCAAGUUAUAUUACUCGGCCAACCCCUAGCUACCCUUUUUCAUUCAAACAGAGUCCAAAUCCCCCUUAAACAUAUAUCCCCAAAAGCUACUCCAUUACAGUCUCAAGGUUUAACUCUUUAUAUCAUAUUAUAGCACACACAACAUUCAUGACCAGACAACCCACACAUAACCAGAGCAUUUAUAGUCAGCUUAUAUUAACUAUACAUAUAGACGAACAUAUUAAGUCAUUGGUCACAUUACAAAGCCACAUUUACAUGCCCGAAAUAUAUUAACAGCGUUAAUAAGCUACAUUAGUCAAGUUAAGCUAGAUGAAUUAAGUUAAGUGAGUUAAAUUCUAUUCACACAACCAGCAGCUACCAUUCCUAACUCAUACAGCCAUAUAGAUUUCUAUGUUUAUGCACAACCAGUUAAGUUAUUUCACAGUAAAUUAUGUCUUACAAAUUAUAAUGCAUCCAAAAUUCAUGUUGCAGCACAUAACACUCGAGAGAUCUAAUCUCUGUUUAUAUCACCAAUUCCUAAUUUGUGCAAGCAAAAUGUUUUGUCAGACAUAGAUUGUGCACUGAACUAGUCUGCAAACAAUCUCAGUAACUUCAUUCAACACAAACAUUCUUUUUAGCCCGCAUAGAUGCAUUUAAACCUCAUCACGGUAAAGCAAAAUUCUCUGAAUAUAAUAGUUCCUUCAUUUUCUAGAAGUAAAUUACCAAUUUCAUUAAACAGCAAGCUCACACCAUUCGGACACUCUAACUUACCCCUAUCUUAGCUUGACUUCUGCGAAAGUAUAAAAUACGAUUUACAAUACCAUUUUCGGUCCAACUACGAAUACGCCAAUGACCAAACAUAAGAAUGAACAAGACAAUAAACACAAUUGUAUGUCACUGAGAAAAGGCAUGCUUCAAAUUCAUAAUAAAAACAACAUAAUGGGAAGUUUUUUCCUGAUUAACACAACCUACUGCAGAAACACAACCCAACCACGUUCAGACAUUUAAACCCAUUUUUCCUUAUCACUUUUCUCUUUUAUUUGAACUCAAACAGAGCAUUGUUCUAGAACAACCUAAAAAAACGAAACAAGAAUCAAACAACAAACACCAAUUUCAUAGAUAACCACCAACUUCACAGAUAAUUGCAUCUAAACAAAAUAAAAUGAACUAGUUCCCCAUACUUGGAGCUUAGUUUGUCUUCUCCAGAAACACACCUCCACCAAACCCCGUAACUUCACAUGUUCCGUACUUGAACUGCAACGCUUUCCAGCUUGCAUUCUCUCUUCUUCUCACUCUUAAGCUUUCUAGAUCCUUACUUUUUGUGCCUCCACUAUUCUCCCACGGAAGCGAACACAUUGAAUUGGAGCUUGAAGUGGUCGCCAGCUCGAACGGCGGCGGAGUCGAGCGCCUGAAGCGUGCCCUAUGAGACCUUGAAGCUGCUAUCCUUCAAGAGAUUGAGGCAUCAUUUGACGAGCAAAGUGACUUAGGUAGAACUGAGCCUCCUCUUACAAGCUUCGAGAACCUCGGGGAGGCGCUCCACGCCAACCAUCCUCUCUCCUUCGCGUCCUUGGCGUGUGGGAUUUCAAGGGCUUCCUCAAUCGCGCAGACCGUUCGAAUCUAGCGCAAGAGGGAGGUUGAGGAGGUUAUGGUGUUUACGAUUCUUUAUUUGGGAUGAAGUUUUAGGGUUUUGGUUCGGGGGAAGAGGAAGAUUUGGUGAGUGUAAAAUAUUAGAGGAAACUGAAAAAUGUUGAGGGAAAGAAAAUAAGUUAGAUAAAUUAAGUCAGUUAAAUAAAAAAAGAGACGUAAAGAUAACACAUUUUUAAGUCUGUCAGAAAAUUAAUAGAUGUAAAAAUAUUAAUUUAAGUCUGUUAAAAAAGUAACAGAGGUAAAAAUACUAAUUUAAGUCUGUUAAAAGAAUAAUAGAUGUAAAAAUAUCAUUUUUAUUUACAAAACUACCACCGCACAUUUUUUAAGUCUAUUUUUCUCUAAACAGACUUAAAUUCGCAGACUUAAUAAGUAUAUUUUGUACUAGUGUUUGAUUCAUUAUCUUUCAUUUGAAUCGAUUAAAAUGCGUUUGCGUUGGGUUUUGGUGUAGCUAUUCUCGUGCGCUUACGCGCACUCAUUGUUCAUCAUCUUUGUCACGUUUUCUCUCUACGGGUUACAUUUUUCAGGUUCGUUUUCUCACUUUUGCACCGUUUUAAAUUAGUUUUACACUGAUUACAUCACUCUUUGAUGCAUUAUCUUUCAUUUGAACCGAUUAAAAUGCGUUUUCGUUGGGUUUUGGUGCAAUUAUUCUUGUGUCCUUGGGUGGCGUUCUUUGGCGACGAUUUCUUGUGUUUUGCACUCUCCAAUUCCCUCCACUACAUUUUUAAAACCAUCCAAUAAAAAAAUAUACAAUAUAUUCUCUUCAACAAAAAUAUAAAGUUGUAAACUCGAAUCACCAUUAGUCAGGAGCAACCUUAGAGACGUCUGACCUGUAUGGAUUGGACGUCUAUAUAGACGUCUGACCUAUAUAGGUCCGAUGUGACGUCUAUAGAGACGUCUGACCUAAAGGGUCUGACAUCUCAUUAACGUCACCGUAUAGACCUCGGACAGAGAUCAGACGUUAAAAGCCCAAAAUAACAUACAUCUAAAAUCCUUUCUGCACUAGUGAUUUAUGUAUAUAUAUAUAUAUAUAUAUAUAUAUAUAUAUAUAUAUAUAUAUGUGUGUGUGUGUGUGUGUGUGUGUAUACAUAUGUGUAUAUAUACAUCUAAAAUCCUUUCUGCACUAGUGAUUUAUGUAUAUAUAUACAUAAAUCACUAGUGCAGAAAGGAUUUUAGAUGUAUAUAUACACAUAUGUACAUACAUAUAUACACAUAUGUUUACAUAUUGUCAACACCCAAUUUCAUCCGGGUGACAAAAAUAUAUUAUUUUUUAUUUUAUAUUAUGUCUUUUUAACAAUUUUAUUUUUGUUAUAUUAUCUAAUUUUUAUUUUUACUUAUUUUAUUUUAUUUAUUUAUCUUUUUAUUUAUUUAUCUUUUUUUUCAUUUUUAUAUUAGUUUUUAUAUUUUAAUUCUAUUUUUACUUUUUAUUUUAUUUUACUUUUUGUUAUUUAGAGUUAUUUCGUUUUAUUUUACGUUAGUUUCUUUUAUUGUUUAGUUUUAUUUUUGUUUUUUGGUUUUUUUUUUUUACCUUAAACGUUAACAAAGAAAUUCCAAGGAAAAAGAAAAUAAAAAAGGUAUGGCAGACUGUUGCUUUCUUUCCAUUCUCAGUCGCACAAACAUGAAUUAAGCUUUCCUGCAACACAAGACUAAACCUCCUGCAACACACAACAACAGACGCCUCCACAAGCCAUCAAACUUUCGUUUUCUGGAAAGAAUCCCUGUGCACCCUGGUUUCUGUCACCAAUUAUGAAUUAAAGAAGAAUGGCGUUUGACAGUGGUUUUACCAGGUGGCUUCUGAUUCUCAGUCUAUGCUUAGUAGAUGGAUGGCAGCGUAGCAGGGGCUUGACCUUUGGCCUGUGAAAAGGAAAGAGAACUCUCAAUUCUAGGGACUCCACAAAGAACUUCUUAGCGAUUCCCCCAUGAGACAAAACCCAUCAUAACCUGAACCACAUUUUCCUUUCAUUCCCAAUUCUUCACCUUCACCAUCACGUUAAUCAAAACCCGACCACCAGCUCUGGGGGCCCUCGCCCAUUUCCGAUCAUCAUCUUCAACUACAUUCACUUACAGCAAGGAGAAGAUGCAUAACUAGCAACAAAAACUAACAAUAAGAAAGGAAGCUCCGAGAGCCAGAGAGCAUUUAAUUCAACAUUUCACCAUCACCUAUCAUCACAGUCACCGGUCAUCACAGCUUGGGAGGAGGAGGCCUCACGGCCAAAGAGAGGGAGAAUCAUUUGCUUUCAGCGUGGCUUUCCAGCACCUGCAAGAAUAUCUUAGCAAUCCAAGGUCUAAGGGAGCCAGAGAGAGUGGAACCAAAAGGAAAGGUUUGAAGCUGUGGAGGUAAGUCUUAUACAUAAGCUCUUUGGCCAUGCCCAUCUAAUGCUCAUGAUUGUGCUUUCCUUAUAUGUGCUGGGAAGUGAACGAAUGAUAUUUGAUUAGUGUAGAUAGUUGUGUUCGCUUGCUUUGUAAUAUCUCUGUUAACCAAAACUGCAUCCAAAACAUAGUUUCAAUGCCAACAAAAUUCAUUAGAUAUAAAUGACAAUAGGAAAUAGAUGUAUAUUCCCCAAGCAUCGGAUUUCAAUAUCAUUUGCUUACACCUAGAAAACAUGCCUUGCCACAAACCUGUAAACAGAUACAAAAACCCCUCAAUCUUCGCCUAUACCAUGAAAACCCCUCUGACCAUCUUCCUGCAAGAGAAACAUCUAAGCAGAUACAUCAUCACCCACUCAUAAUCUCAGUUUCAUUCUGGAAAUAUCAAUAACCCCAAAGUCACUUCCCUGCUCGCAAGCGAAGGUGAAAGGUAGUAGCGUGGUGGUCGGCGACCACCUUGGUGACGACAGGGAACACUGGUGGUUCUCUGACGACAGCGGCUUUUGAAUUCGAAUAGGAGGAGAGAGGGUUCGUGCGACGCUUUUGGCGAAAGUCGCAGUCGCUGGCGAUGAUGCGAGACGAAACCUCGACGGCGGCGACCGGUUGCGGCUGGUCUCGCCCGUGACCGAGAGCGCGUCCAGGAAGUUUUUCUGUUUCUCGUACACGAGAGGAGAGAAGGAGAAGGUGGGGGCUCUGGCGGUAGACGUCGUCGCUUGCGAUGCUAGGGGCCGCGGUUCGCGGCUGCGGGUUGGGUGGAGGUGAGGACGACGUGGUUGCCAACUUUUGAGUGCUUCGGGUUUCGGUUGUUUUCUGCAGAGAGGAAGAGACUCUAGGUCUCGUGAACUUUGAACAAAUGAUGGGAAUGAAGGGAGAAGGCUGAACCCCUAGAAAGUUUCUAGGUUAGAAGAGAAUUGGGCUUGGGUUGUUGGUUUUUUUUGUUAAUGAAAAAUAAAGAAAAACACUUUGUUACAGUUCGACUUCCCAUACACGUACCCCCAUUUCUCACAUUUGCACCCCUACGUCCAUUCCCUGCUUUGGGCUCAGGCCCAUUAUGAUUCUCCCUGAAAAAGAAAAAAAAUAACAAAACCAUUUUCCUUCCUACACCCCUAUUUCUGCUAAACAUCACACCACCAUCCAAUUUGGGCUUAAGUCCAGUUUGUUUAUAAUAAUAGUUUUUACGCCCCCUUUCUCCUAGUUAAGCACCUCCACACCUUUACUUGUUAUUUUGUUUUUUUUUUAUUAUUUAACUUUUUAGUUUAUUUUAUUUCUACUUUUUAUUUUUCAUCCCUAUUUUUCUAUUUCUUAUUUUCAUUUUGAUAGUUAUCUAUUUAUUUUAUUUCAUCUACUUUUAAAUAAAUAUUAAAAACAACAAAAUAUUUUUAAAGGUUUAAGCACGUGUGUGAUCGCACGCAUCGUCCUCGUGCUAAGACCUUUUCUUCUUUUUAUAAAAAUCAACAAAAAUGUUUUUAAAGGUUUAAGCACGUGUGUGAUUGCACGCAUCAUCCUCGUGCUAAGACCUUUUCUUCUUUUCAUAAAAAUAAUAAAAAUUGUUUUAAGCGUUUAAGCACAUGUGUGAUCGCACGCAUCGUCCUUGUGCUAGAAAACCUUUUCCCUUUCUUAUAUAAAAAAUGCCAAAAACAAAAAGCAUUUUCAUUUCCAAAUAACAGUCAACCUUUCAACCAGAACUACGUUAUCCUUGAUUCUCCAUCAAAAGUGGAGAUACGUAGGAGCAAGGCUAGUCCUUGUCAGGCUCACUUUCCCAAAAAUCUAAAUUGUCCAAACAAACUUUCCAAAUAAUUCUCCAAACAAAUUUUCCAAAUGGUUUCCCAAAGAACUACGUAACCCUGAUUUCUCAGUCCAACUGAGAAUACGUAGGAGCAAGGUCAAUCCUUGUCGGGCACAGAAAACACAAAAAAAUAUUUUGUUUUCUUUAGAGUUUUAUUUUUUAGGGGAAAUUAAACAUUUUGCAAACCACAUUAAAUUCGUGUAUUUAGUUAAAAGUACUGCCUUAGGGCAGGCGUUGUGGGGGUGCUAACACCUUCCCCACACGUAACCGACUCCCGAACCCAAUCUUUGGUUUUCGUGGACCGUGCUUUAUCAUUUUAUGGUUUUUCCGUAGUUUUCCAGAAUAAACUAUGGUGGCGACUCCAAACUCUUUUUCUAAAUUCGUUUUCUUUUUUGGACGGUCGUCCUGUCGCGAUUUUCCGGUUGCGACACAUAUGUAUAUACAUAUACAUAUAUAUAUACAUAUAUAUAUAUAUAUAUAUNNNNNNNNNNNNNNNNNNNNNNNNNNNNNNNNNNNNNNNNNNNNNNNNNNNNNNNNNNNNNNNNNNNNNNNNNNNNNNNNNNNNNNNNNNNNNNNNNNNNNNNNNNNNNNNNNNNNNNNNNNNNNNNNNNNNNNNNNNNNNNNNNNNNNNNNNNNNNNNNNNNNNNNNNNNNNNNNNNNNNNNNNNNNNNNNNNNNNNNNNNNNNNNNNNNNNNNNNNNNNNNNNNNNNNNNNNNNNNNNNNNNNNNNNNNNNNNNNNNNNNNNNNNNNNNNNNNNNNNNNNNNNNNNNNNNNNNNNNNNNGUUUAUAUAAAAUUUAUAUAAUAUAGAAGUCCGCAUCUUAAUAUAAUAGAAUAGUUAGAAGUAGACUUGCACUUAAAGUGUUAAGAUUACAAUCAUUCAAAAGAGACCAUAAUCUAAAACUUUAACGAUAAUAUAGUAUUUUAAAAUGAUACAACUUAUUUAAGAAAUUCUAAACAAACUAAGUUGCAUCAUCAUCACCAUCGAGGGCCUGCUCCAGGGGUAUCUGUUAACACCCUGGCAAGUGUACCAGAUCGUAUCAAGUAAUAAUAGAACAGUAAGUCCAGAUAUCGCUUCCCAAAGGACUCUUAGGCCUUAUCGUUCAUGUGAAUUAAUCGCAUAUGACUAGAAAGAUUAAUAAUUUGAGAUUGUAAUGCAAAGACAAAAUUAAACAUGCAAAUGCAAAAGUUGAAUCAAUUGACAGAUAAGAAUAUGAAUGAAUGGAGUUGUUGGGGUUUAUAAUUUCAUCCUGAUCCACCCUCCUAUAUCUAUUAUUCCUAUUAUAUUCCACUUUAUUAUCAAUGUUCAUGCAACUUUCAAAUUACUCUAAACCCGAUCCCUUGGCGAAAAGAGCCUAUUAUCAUAAUUACUAGUUUACUAUUCUGAUGACUUAGGCCCAAGCCCACCAAAUAAUCAAAGUCCAAAUACUAGAAGAAUAAGGUUGCUGAGUGCACCCCCAUGGUGAUAGUGGCAGCAAAGUCCAAGAAAUAGAAGACUAAGGGUGCUUAGCGCACCCCCCAUUGUGCUAAAUCCAUCCAUGGCAGAUUUCCAUCACUUUUCAACACAUUCCGUGCAGAUUCUAGAUUUCCACACACAUGUUUCUUGCUUUGCCAUGUGGGUCAUGAUCCACCAUAUUCAAACUUCAUCCACACCGUGUACAACUAGUUGGAUAUUCUAUAAAUCCAACUUAGAUCACUUGUAAGAACAGUUUUGGAUUUAUGAAAGAUUAUUUUCUGCUAUUGAAUCUCCAGCAAACAACACUCUGUUCGAAAGUCAUACUACCUUGAGCUUUUCCCUCACCACCUAGUUCCUUCCAACUACGGAAGCCGUCUGAACUAGAUUUCACCGCCACCGAGAGCUCCCCUGCACCACAUUCUUCCACUAAACUUCAUUCUCCGCUGCUAUCAAACUCUACAAAAACAUUCGCUGCUUGUUUUCUCCUCCACCGACUGGAUCGAAGUCAUCAAAUUCCUAGUCUCCCUAGCAAUUACUAAUGCAUUAAUAAUAGAAGCUUAAAGCAAUUGACCAUCCUACUCCUAUCCCUAGGUAGUAUUGCAUAAUCAAGAGAAUUCUUCUCAGUUCUAGAUUUCCCUGUACGUUCCCAUAUCGACAAAAUCAAAGAUCAUGACAUUGAAUGAGUUAAACAAUGCAAGCUUUAAAGUACAGAGAAAAAAACUCAAACUAUUGAUAAUACAAGAAUAUGAAAUAAAUUGGAAUUUCAAUAUAAGAGAGUUUCACAAAGAUUACAUUGUUCCCCAAAACAAAGGGUUUAGUUCACCAUUGACAUGGUGAAACUAGAUGAAUUGAAUGAAAAGAAUGAAAAGAUAAACCCUAGAUUUGGUAGAUUGGAGCUCCCACAUCCAAAAUCCUCCUCCAAGGGGUGGAAAGAGUGUUUUGUCGUCUUUCUCUGCCAAAAAGAUUCCCCUAGAAUAGUUCUGAGGGUCAAUUUAUAAGCUAUGAAAAAUUACAGAAUUUUGGCCCAAGCCCAACUACAGCACUCAGCGCUGGAUGCACCACUUAGCGGUAGGUGCGACACUUCACUGGAUCGCUCAGUGUUGACGCCCAAGCCUCCUGCCGUAUUGAAUUAAAGUUCUCAGCGCUCAACGGUGGAUUCUGACGCUCAGCGGUGGCAAUGAUUCUUCAUUCUCCCCUCAGCGCUGACUCUUAAGCGUUUUGCCGUAUUGACUUUCACAAUGCUGACACUCAGUGCUGAAAUUGACGCUGAGCGGUGGGAGCAAUUCCUCUUUUGCACCUUUCUUCAUCCUUUCUUGAGUCCAACUCCUUCCUACUUCACUUUCCAUCCUUCAAUUCUCAUUAAAACCUGUCAAAACAAUGUAAAACCAAGCAUAAUAUCUCUAAAACCACCUUUGACUCUCUUGUAAUCUAACUUAAGUGUUUUGCAUGAUUUUAAGCCCAUUCUAAGUCAUAAAGGGUGUGUUUUGAUCUCAAUUUCACAUAUAAAAAUAACGGUUUUUAGACCGUUAUCACAACCCCAAACUUAGAACUUUGCUUGUCCUCAAGCAAACACAACAAAACUUACCUUUCCACCUAUCAUCAAAAUGGUUCACACAUUAAAAAAUCAUUCUUCCACAACAAGUAAUUACUCAAUUCAGCUUUUCAAUGGAGUCUCAUCAAGAUGCACACAUGCUUUAUUUCAUUCCAAUUCACAUAUUGUUCACAUAAUCACAUACUCUUCCACAGAUGUUAUCCUUAUGAAUGAUCAGUCAACUAAGCACAAAUGUAAUCAUGAAUUUCAGAAAUCCUUUCCAGGCAAAGUGUUUCACUCAAUCACUCAAGUGUUUCACUCAAUCACUCAAGUGUUUCAGGAGGUCACUCCUUCCCUCUACUAUCCACAUGUCACUUAAAACAAAAUUGCCUUUCAUCUAAUACAAUCAACAUUUUCACACAUACAUGCCAUCACAAGGACUUUUCAAGGCUUAUAAUGAGGCUAGGCUAACAAGAAAAAUUGGUUUUUCUGGAUCGCAAAAUCCUUGAGUUAAGAGAGUUAUUCAACAAGAUCCAUAGUUCAAGCACCAACUCUCUUUCAACCAAUCACACUCAUUCCCAAACUUUUCCCUUUUUCUUUUACUUUUGCAUUGAGUUUAUCUUUCAUGCUUUUCUUUUCUUUUCUUUUCUAUCUUUUUUCAUGCUUUUUCUUUCAACACAUUAUCUCAAUGCUUUUCUUUUGCCUUUCAAUUCUCCCAACAACCCCAAACUUAAACCUUUAUCAAUACCCUUCAAUUAUUCUCAACUCAACUCAAGGUAAAGAUUUUUCUCAAAAAGGUUUUCAAAGUAUUUCAGGCUAAGGUUCAAAAAGGGUAGAACACAUUGUUCUCUUUACUUUGAGUGAAAAUUUGGCUAAGGAAGGGCUUCUAAAAAUGGCAUUGAUCAUGUGACAUAAACAUGUAAUUCAAUCAAUCAUAAAGAUUCACGCAAAAUCAUUCAUGUUCUCAAAUGAAUAGCAAAUAUAUCAAUCAAAUACUCUGGAGCUUAAAACCUCACACAAUUAUGCUCUUUCAACAUAUCAAUCAUACACCCUACUUAGUAUCAUAACCACAACCAUAACUCAUCAUGCAUCUGUUCACACAACUUGUGAACAAUUCACCUGUAUAAAGGCAUGUAAAGCAGUCUCAAUCAUCAUCCACAUCAAGCAUCAUCAAGCACACUCAUUAUGCAAUAAAACAAGUCAAACCAUCAUCAGAUAAGGUGUUCAAGCAAGUACCAUAAAACCUACAAUACUCAACAGAAUUCAACCUAUUCUACAAGUUCAAAUUACAAAUGAAAAAGAAAAAUAAAACCUUGUUCCACUGCAACUGGCAUCCAUCAGUAGAUGCCAAAUCAACCCAUGUUAUCAUCAGAGUCAUCAUCAUUUCCAGCCUCUGCAUCCUCAAAGUCAUCAUCCUCCUCAUCAUCAUCCAUAACUGGAGCUUCAGCUUCAGCUGUUCCAGCUCCGCUACCCUGUGCCUGCUCCUAGGGCCACGCCAUAGCAUUAUGGAACUCAUCCAUAGUCCACCUGUGUGUAGGGGGUGUAUCAUACAACCCCACAAUCAUCUCUGUUGUGGCCACCUGCCCUCGACGAAUAGUCUCAAGUCUGGCCUCCAUCAUGGACAUAUACAUGUCCCUCAUCUGGAAUGGCUCUACAUGUUGUGCAGGUUCAUCAUCCUGUUGGGUUGCUCCUCUCCUGGGACGUCUCUGAGGCACUGGUCUAGCUUCCUCAUCUCCUUCAUAGAACUGCCUAUAAUAUGCUGCAUCUAUGGUCUUCCUAGGCCUCUCAAAUGGUGGAGUAGAAGUAUCUACCCCAGCCUGAUGACACAACUCUGUGAUCAAGGAAGGAUGACCAAGUGGUGCCUUGUUGCUCACAGUGGUUGCACAACUCUGAAUCUCAUUGGCGAUGACCUCACCGAUGUUCACAUUCAAGCCUCUCAGCAUGCAAUAAAUAAACAUAAUCCUGUGAAGUGUAAUAUCAGAAACAUGGGAGCAAGGUUGGACGUUAGCAUGAGUAAAUGUCAUCCAGUAUUUGGCCAGGGGUGUUAGGUCAGCUCUCUUGAUGUUGAUGGCUGCACCAUUUGGAUUCCUUUGAAAAUGCCCACCAGGCACACAAAGUGCUCUCUCAAUGUCUUCAAAAUCCAUGCACUCCCACACAUUCAGUGAAUACUGACAUUGCUCACCAACUCAUUCAGUGCCCAGAAAACUAUUAAUUGUUUCAAGGUCAUAACUAAUAGUCUUCCCCCGAACAUAACUUGUAUAUCUAUCCCUGUCAACCCCCAUUAACUUAGCACUUGUGUAGAAAUCUUUAACCAUUGCUAUAUUAGCAGGUGCAUGGUACGUUGCCAAUUUCUCCCAAUUUCUGCUCUCCAACUCCUCACCAAACUGUGGAGCCAAGUCUGGAAUGAAUGUUGCUUUCCUUUCCAUUAGGAGGUGUCUUUCUUGAACAGUCACAUGAUGUAGCUCAUGCCUCCUUGAUAGUAAUCUAUUAGAAUACAACCUCUCAGGUUCUUUCCUCUUGUUCCCUUGAGUCUUGAUUCUCUUUCGGGAUGAGGAUGUCAUUCCUACAUCAAAUACAAUUCACAAGACCAAAGAAUUCACCGUUAAGGGUUAGCAAACCAUCAAAUAAACAUCAUUGCAUCACUAUCCAGUGCUGAGGGCAAAACAGGGCCCCUCAGCGCCACCUGCAACUCAAAGUAUUAAAAAAAAAUCAAAUCUAUCAGGCCACCGCUCAGCGAUGGCGAUGACAGUUUUUCAAAAACUUGCCUAAAACCCCUCUAAUCUCCACCCAAUUUCAAAUUCCUCAGUUCCAUACCAAAAUCAUACAAUUCAAUUGGUGCAAAUCGUUUCUAUUUCAUCAAAUCAUGCAUAGAAAUCAAAAGCCCUAAUUUUUCAUGUUUUUACACAUGUUCUUCAUCAAAUCUCAAUUCUAGAAACCCUAAAAAUGAAAUUGCAUGACUUACUUGGUGAUAACGGUCUAAAAACUGUUAUUUUCAUGCUUAAAUUUGAUAUCAAAACACACCCUUUGUGGCUUAGAAUGAGCUUAGAAUCAAGUAAAAACACUUAGUUGAGUCAUAGGAGAGUCAAAAGCUGUUUUUAGAGAUAUUAUGCUUGUUUUGCAGGGUUUUGAUGGAAAUUGAAGAUGGAAGUGAAGUAGGAAGGUCUUAGACUCGAGAAAGAAGGAGAAAAAGGAAUAAAAGAAGAGUCUAAGCACCGCUCAAUGUCAAAAACCACCGUUGAGCGCCAGGAUUCGAGGGAGAGCCACUGUCUGGCGCCAGGAGGAGACGCUGAGCGUCCAGAGUAGUUAGAGGCAAACUGCUUAGCGGUGAGACUGAGCGGUGGCGCGGCAAGAGGCAAACUGCUGAGCGGUUAAAUUGGACGCUGAGCGGUUGUCUGCUGGGCUUGGGCUGAAAUUCUGUUACUUUUAUGCUCUAUAAAUAGCCCCAGUACGAUUCAAAUUGUAUUCUUUUGGCAGAAGAAGACAUCCAAAGUUGUUCUACACACCUUGGAGGAGGUUCCUUGGAUGCUUAGGCUCCAAUCUACCAAAUUUAGGGUUUAUUCUUCCAUUCUUUCAUUGUACUUCAUUUAGUUUCACCAUGUCUAUGGUGAACUAAACCCUUUGUUGUUGGGGAACAAUGUAAUCUUUUGAAACUCUCUUUUAUUGAAAUUCUUAUUAUAUUUAUAUGCUUGCAUAUGCUUAAAUUAUCAAUUGUUGGGUUUCUUAUCUAUGCUCAAGGCUUUUAUCGUUUAAUUUAUUCAAUAUAAAGAUGUUUGCCUUUGUCGAUACGGGAAUGUACGGGGAAGUCAUGAACUGAUAGGGAAUUCCUUGAUUAAGCAAUACCACCUAGGGAUAGGGGUAGGACGAUCAAUUGUAUUUUGCUUUCGUGAUACAUGCAUUGCUAAUUGCUAGGGGAGACUAGGGAUAGUAAGCCAGUAAUUUGUAGUAGGCUCUUCUCGCCGAGGAAGCGGGUUUAGGGUAGACUAAGAAAGUUUGCAUGACAAUUAGAUAAUAAAGCUAAUUAGUAAGAAGAGUAGAUUAAAGAGAGUGGAUAAGAUGAAAUUGUAAACCCCAACAACUCGAUUCAUCCAUAUCUUUUUCUUGCCAAUUGAAUCACUUGCAUUUGCAUGUUUGUUUUCGUUCUUUGAUUUAACCCACAAGAUUUAUUUCUCUUCAAGUCUUAUAAUAUCAACUUACAUGAAAGUUAAGGCCUAAGAGUCCUUUGGGAAAACGAUACUCAAACUUACCCGUUUUAUAUUACUUGAUAACGAUCUGGUACACUUGCCAGGGACUUAACAAGUUUUUGGCAUUGUUAAGUCCCUGGCAAGUGUACCAGAUUGUUAUCAAGUAAUAUAAAAAGGGUAAGUCUGAGUAUCAUUUUCCCAAAGGACUCUUAGGCCUUAACUUUCAUGUAAAUUGAUAUUAUGAGACUUGUAAAGAUAUAAAUCUUGUGGGUGAAUGCGAAAAAGAAAAUAAACAUGCAAAUGCAAGUGAUUCAAUUGGGAAGAAAAAGAUAUGGAUGAAUGGAGUUGUUGGGGUUUACAAUUUCAUCUUAUCCACUCUCUUUUAUCUACUCUUCUUAUUAAUUAGCUUUAUUAUCUAACUGUCAUGCAAACUUAGUCUACCCUAAACUCGAUUCCUAGUUGAGAAGAGCCUACUACUAAUUACUGGCUUACUAUUCCUAGUCUCCCCUAGCAAUUAGCAAUGCAUGUAUCACGAAAGCAAAAUACAAUUGAUCGUCCUACCCCUAUCCCUAGGUGGUACUGCUUAAUCAAGGAAUUCCCUAUCAGUUCAUGACUUCCCCGUACGUUCCCGUAUCGCUAAAGGCAAACAUCUUUAUAUCGAAUGAGUUAAACGAUAAAAGCUUUGAGCAUAAACAAGAAACCCAACAAUUGAUAAUUUAAGCAUAUGCAAGCAUAUAAAUAUAAUAAGAAUUCCAAUAAAAGAGAGUUUCAAAAGAUUACAUUGUUCCCAACAACAAAAGGUUUAGUUCACCAUAGACAUGGUGAAACUAGAUGAAAUACAAUGAAACAAUGGAAGAAUAAACCCUAAAUUUGAUAGAUUUGAGCCUAAGCAUCCAAGGAAUCUCCUCCAAGGUGUGUAAAACAGCUCUGGACGUCUUCUUCUACCAAAAGAAUAUGAUUUGAAUCGCACUGGGGCUAUUUAUAGAGCACAAAUGUAACAGAAGUUAAGCCCAAGCCCAGCAGACAACCGCUCAACGUCACAUUUUACCGCUCAGCAGUUUCCCUCCAGCCGUGCCACCGCUCAGCGGUCAGUCUCACUGCUGAGCGGUUUGCCUCCAACCGCUGUGGAUGCUCAGUGUCAUCUCCUAGCGCCAGACAGUGGCUCUCCCUCAAAUCCUGGCACUCAGCGGUGGCUUUUGACGCUGAGCGGUGCAUAGACUCUUCUUUUCUUCCUUUUUCUCCUUCUUUCUUGAGUCGAAGACCUUCCUACUUCACUUCCAUCUUCAAUUUCCAUCAAAACCCUGCAAAACAAUGCAAAACAAGCAUAAUAUCUCUAAAAACAGCUUUUGACUCUCCUAUGACUCAACUAAGUGUUUUUACUUGAUUCUAAGCUCAUUCUAAGCCACAAAGGGUGUCUUUUGAUAUCAAAUUUAUACAUGAAAAUAACGGUUUUUAGACUGUUAUCACAACCGCAAACUUAGAACUUUGCUUGUCCUCAAGAAAACAAGACAAAACUUGGCUUUCCACUUUUUCAUCAAAUAGUUCAACAUUUUCAGAAUUCAUUUUCUUCAUGACAAGAACUACUCAAUCUAGAUUUUCAGUAGAAUCCUAUCAAGAUGCAUGCAUGCUUUCAAUCCAAUUCAAUUCACAUGAUCACAUAUUUCCCAACAGAUGUUAUACUUUAUGAAUGAUCAAUCAACUAAGCAUAAAUGUACACAUGAAAUUUAUCAAUUCUCACCAAGCAAUUGUUUCACUCAAUCACUCAAGUAUUUAAGAGGAUACUCCAACUCUCUAUUAUUCACAUAUCACAUGAAACAAAAUUUCCCUUCAUCUAAUACAAUCAACAUUCUCACAUGCAAAUGUCAUCACAAGGACUUUUCCAAGGCUAGGCUAACAAGAAAAGUUGGUUUUUCUAGAUCACAAAAUCCUUGAGUUAAGAGAGCUAUUUUAACAUUCAAAGUUCCAGCACAAACUCUCUUUCAACCAAUCUCACUCAUUCCCAACUUCUCCCCUUUUCUUUCAUUUUUACAUGGAGCUCAUCUUUCAUGCUUUUUCUUUUCUUCUUUUUCUUUUCUCAUGCAUUUUCUCCUUUAACACUUGAGCUCAAUGCCUUUCCUUUGCUUUUCAAUAUUCCCUCAACAACCCCAAACUUGAACUUUUUCAAUACAUAUAUAGUUAUUCUCAACCCAACUCAAGGUAAAUAAUUUCAAAACAAGGGUUUUCAUUCUGUUUAAGGCCAAGGUUCAAAAAGGGUAGAACACAUGGUUCUAAUCAUUUUGGGCAAAAAUUUGGCUAAGUAAGGGCUUCCAAACAUGGCCUUGAUCAUAUGUCAUAAACAUGGAAUUCAAUCAAUCAUACAAACUUAGGCAAUAUCAUUCAUGUUUCCCUGUGAACAGUACAUAUAUCAGUGAAUACUUUGGAGCUCAAUACCUCACACAACAUGCUUUCUCACACAUCAUUCAUUCAUACAUCCUGCUUAGCAUCAUAACCACAAUCAUAAAUCAUCACACAUCUGUUCACAUAAGCUAGUGAACCAUUCACCUGGAUAUCAACAUGCAACACAUUCUCAAUCAUCAUCCACAUCCAAUCAUCAUCAAAUAGACUCAUCAUGCAUUUCAUUCAGUCAAGCCAUCAUCAGAAUUAGUGUACAAGCCAAGCAUAGACACAUAAAAUAAAAUUCAACCUAUUCUAAAAAAAAUCAAAAUACAAAAGUGAAAGAAAAAUCCCUGUGCUAAGCUUUGGCAUCCAUCAGUAGAUGCCCUCUUAGUCCAUAUCCUCAUCUGAGUCAUCCUCAUCACCAGCCACUACAUCCUCAAAGUCAUCCUCCUGGUCAUCCUCAUCUCCGCCUGGUGUUCCAGCUGCUCGAGACCCGCUACCAUGUACCUGCUCCUAAGGCCAAGCCAUAGCACUAUGGAACUCGUCCAUAGUCCACCUGUGCACUGGUGGCUGAUCAUAUAGCCCCACUAUCAUCUCGGCAGUAGCUAUCUGCCCUCUGCGCAAAGACUCCAUCCUGACCUCCAUCAUGGACAUGUACAUGUCCCUCAUCUGGAACGGCUUGGUGUGUUGUGCCGGUGCAUCUGCAGGUCCAUCCUCCUGCUAUGCUGCUGCUCUCCUAGGACGUCUCCUAGGUGAUGCUCUGGCUGCCUACUCCUCUGCACGAUACUAUUGAUAGUAAGAAGCAUCUAUGGCCUUCCGAGGCCUCUCAUAUGGUGGAACUACAGUAUCCACCCUAGCCUGCUAGCACAAGAAGGUAAUAAGGGACGGAUGUCCCAACGGUGUCCUACAACUCACAGUAGUAACGCAGCUCUGAAUAUCAUCAGCAAUAACCUUCCCAACAUUCCAAUCCAACUGCCUCAGCAUGCAGUAGAUGAAGAUGAUCCUGUGCAUGGUGAUGUCGGAAACAUGGGAGCACGACUGAAUGUUGGCAUGAGUGAAUGCCAUCCAGUAUCUCGCCAGAGGCGUCAAGUCUGCCCUUUUGAUGUUGUCAGGUACUCCAUUAGGGUUGUUCUAAAAAUGCCUUCCAGGAAGGCACAUAAUCCUCUCAAUAUCUCCAAUGUCCCUGUACCCACAUACACAGGCUGCAUAUUGGCACUGCUCACCUGGCCACUCAGUGUCGAAGAAACUAUUGAUGGUGUCAGGGUUAUACCAGAUAAUCCGUCCCCUGACAUAGCUCAUGUAUCUCCCAGUCAAAACUCCUCCUCUGGUCAAGGCAUUCGUAUAGAAUUCCUUCACCAGUUCAAUGCUGGCUAGUGCGGGAUAUGUGGCCAACCUCUCCCAGUCUCUCCUCAUAAUCUCUGCUCCAAAUUCAGGAGCUAAGUCUGGGAUGAAAGUGGCCUUCCUUUCCAUCGGCAGUCUUCUCUCUUGCAUCGUCACAUGGUGCUCUUCAUGCUUCCUAGAGAGGAACCUAGGAGAAUAAAAUCUUUGUGGCCUCUCAGGUUCCUUCCUCUUGUUGCCAAGAGUUUUCACCCUUCUAGAUGAUGAUGUCAUUCUUGAGUGGAGAUACUAGAUGGUUGCAAAAUUCCUUUCCAACUGAUGAUGAAUGCUCCCGAUGCAAAGCUCUCACCAAAAACCCCCCAAUGGAAUGUUCAAAAAGUAAGGUUUUUGUGAGUGGGUGAUGGCAAAAAGUGGGAAAAACUCUUUGAAAAACCUUUGAAAGUGAAAGAGAAGUGUUAAGGCUUAUGGAGACCGCUUGGGCGAAAUGUAAAGAAGAGAUUUCAAGUGUAGAAAACCCCAAAAUGCUCAGCUUUUAAAAAGCCCGAGCCAGGUUUACGCCACCACCGCUCAGCGGUCAAAUGCACCGCUCAACGGUGGACAGUAAAUUUUGUUUUCCUCUUCUUUGCUUGCCUUCACGUUCUCCACCCUGUAGCACUUGAUUUCUACUUUCAAAAUUUACAUUAUGUUCCUUUCCCCUCUCAAAUGCAACAUUCAAACAUAUAAUGCACUUAGAACAGAGUUAGAAACAAGAAAUAAUCAACUGGGUUGCCUCCCAGGUAGUGCAUGUUUAACAUCACGAGCCUGACCCAACCUGUCUAGCACUCAUCAGUAAGUGCUUCCCAACACCCUUCAGUAGGUGUAAUUAACUGUAUCCUUUAGUAGAUACAUAAAACUUAGCAUCCCUCAGUAGAUGCUACCCAAAAAUUGUUUAAAUAUCCAAAAAUUACAUGUCCAAUAUAAUAAAAUAAAGAAUGUUCUAUAACAAUUGGAAUUCAUUCAGAUUACAUCAUGUCUUCUCAUUCCGGUUGGGAUCUUCAUCAACCCAACUCAUCAGCUGUUUCCUAUCCACUCUUCUGAUUGCUUUGGAGUAUAGUCUUCUAAUCUUCACUGUUCCUCCUUCUUCAAGCUUGUUCACAAUCUACUUCCUAUUUUUAAAUUUUACUUUUGAACCACGUAGGAGUGGCGUGUCCUCUGAGUGGGUUGUUCCUCCUUUAUCUACCUCUUCCUCUUCAGGUACCUGCAAAAUAUUACAACUGUCAGUAUUAGUACCUGUGCCUUCUUCCUCUGCAAAAUAUUCCUUAUUCUUAUUUUGUCAGAGCCAUUAUACAAUAACACAUGUUCUUGAUCUCUUAACAUCAUUUUUCCAUCCUGGAUACGCAUCACCAUUUUAGAAGUACUCAUAAAAGGUCUUCCCAAAAUUAGUGGAAUUCUUCCCUCAUUCUCCAUAUCCACAACUGUAAAGUCCACCAAGAACUCCAGCUGCUUAAUACGAACAAUUGCAUCUUCCACCCUACCAACUGGCUUUUUAACAGAACCAUCUGCAACUAUCAGAGAAACAUUACCUGGUUUCAAUACUAGUCCUUUAAUUUUCUUUAGAUAACUCAAAGGCAUCAAAUUAAUGCUAAAUCCAAAAUCUAUCAUUGCCCUUCCUAUAUUCACAUCAUUAAUGAUGCAUGGCACAGUCCAACACCUUAGAUCCUUCAUUUUUGGUGGAUGUUGUUUCUUUCUAGGUUGAAUAGUGAUGGGUGUCGCACCUCAUGCAAAUUUAAUGUGUAUAAAGAAUGCAGUAUAGUACUAGGAAGUGACUCCUAGGUCGUCUCUCAAGGACCAAAUGUGGUUCGAGAAUUAGGUCAAAUACGUAGUGGGGGAGUUGUUGAAAAGUUUGUGAAUGCGGAUAAACAAAAUCAAAACACGAAUGCAAACAACAAUGUAAACACAGAUGCAAACAGAAAGGUAAACAGAAAUGUAAAAACGGAAUGUGAAAACGGUUGGUCAUUAACUCAAUCACUAUGCUUCCAAUCAUAGAUUAACGACAAGUACACACUACUUUAAUCCAAAUCCAACACAAAUCACCCAACUAAGCAAAGGUCAAUCAUGCUAUCAUAAUUACGAACUAAGCGAACAUAAUACAUCUAUUCCAUCCAACGUGUUCUAUACAGAUUGAUCAACCAAGCGAAGAUGCAAUCACUAAUCGGGCAACUAAGCGUAUACCCAUUGCAAGAACACAGUCAGAUUUCAUAGAAUGCCAGGCAGAGCAGAGUAAACACAAGUACAGUCCAAGAAAUUUCAAGGAAACAAAGUAAUUUUAUUAAUGACCAACCCGCUUACUUAAGCUAACAUUACAACUAAAUCAAAGAAAAUUUACAUGACUCAUUUGAAUUGAAAUUACUAAAUCAAAAUUAAAUUCACAUGCAACUUGGAAUAAAAGGGCAACAUUAGCUAAUAAUUAAAAUGAGCAUUCGGCGGAAAUUAAGACAUAAGGCUUAACUAAAAUUGAAGUUAAUAAUGCAGCAACUUUCAGGCACAUUCAUCACGGAAUUCAACACUUAGUAAAGCAACAUAAAUGAAAAAUGUUUCACUUCUUUGCAAUUGAAAAAAAAAAUUCUUCUUCUCAGUAAAAGAAAAGAAAUGUUAUCCAACAAAAAGAAAAUCAAUGCCCUCACAUAGUGGCAGCUGUCUUCUACAAGAAAGGAAAUUAAAAUAAAACUCAUUGGACUUCACCAUUCAUGGCUCUUAAAACUUAAGAAAAACUUUAAGCUAUCUACUCUUCUCCUCCCGUGGCGGCUCUCCUCAAGAAGUGAAAUUGAUAUCUCCUUCUCCAGAUGUCUGUGCGGCUACAACAACUUGUCUUUUUAUUCCCUUAAGUGAAGCCCUCCUCGACCUGCUAUUGGGGUUGCUAUGGGCCGUCAACAUGUGCACAUGGGCUGCUACACCUCCAUUCUCUCCAAGCACACCUGCCUUUCUUUGGACCAUGACGUGUUGGAGCUCCUUCUCGUGCUAUUGUCACAGCUCUCAGUCCGUGAUGUGUUGCUGUCAGAGGAAUGGGCUGCUGGAAUGAAUGAAGGAAAACAUGUUGCUGCUAGAUGCGGAAAUGGAUGGAAGCUACUGGACGCUAAAGUGUUGAUGGGCUGUUAGAUGGAGAAUUGAAUAGGUUGUGUGAAGAUGUGGCAACUGCUGGAUGUCACCCCAAUGUAGGCCUGCUUUCUCCUAAGUUUGCUGGAGGAAUUCACGUGAUUGUUGGACUGCUGCCUGCCAUUUUUUCCAACGUGGAGUCCAGCCUUCCAUGGAGCACGCGUGCUGCUUUCCUUGGGUGGUAGCUAGAUGCUAUAAUUUAAGUCUGUUUGUGCUGCAGCUCUCCUAGCUAUUAGGUCGUGAAGAUUGGAUGCAAUAGCUUGUGUGAUGCCUGGACGUGAUCUAUUGUGUGCUGCAAUGCUGGUGGACCGUGAUGUGUGAGAGUGUUGGAUGCUGCUGGAUGAAUCAGGCAUCUUGGAUGUAGCCCGUGAUGUGUUGGAAGCUCCCUGCAGAUUAAAUUAUCCAUGGGCCCCACUGCACCAUUUAUCUCCAAGCACAAAAAUGAAAUGUUGAUUCCUAAAGCAAACCCAUCAGCGCAUCUGUCAACGUGUGCACACACCUGGGCCCACUUACUUUCUUUUUUUAUGAAGUUAGUGUGCCCUUUUCAAAUAAUGAAUCUAGCAGCACCAUGCUUUCUCUUCUCUAAAAGAAAGGAAAUUAAGUAAAUUCAUAAAACAAUCAGCGCACACUUCAACGCAAAAUGGGUCCCCGGAUCACCUUACUUUUAUCAUUUAAUCUCCAAAUGUUCCAAAUUAUAUUUCCAAAAUUUUUCCAGUAAUUAAUAAUGCAAAUAAUUAACUCAGAUAAUUCAAAAUAAUUAAAAUAAGAAUUUCUGGUCAAAUUAAGCACAAUUAGCAAAAACGAGAAAAUACCGGACAUUUAAGCACAAUUCCCUGAUUAAAUCCGGUACAAUAAACUAAGUGCAGUUAAUAAAAUAUUGACUCAUCAAAUAGCAAUUUCUUGUUCUUCUUCAUCAAGAUCUAUCACCUCUCCAAGAUAAUAUUUUAUUCUCUUAGAGUAAACAGGAAAUUGAGGAAAAGUUUCAUUUAAGGGAACAACAGUCACCUAGUUAAAGAUUUCUCUGAAUGGCUCAGGGUGACUUUCUCUUUCCUUACUUUCAAAAAAUUUUUCCAACCUGUCUUCUUCUUCCUCUCCCUCACUACUCUCGCUCUCCACAUUCUCUUUCAUCUCUUCAUCCUCCUCCUCACUACUUUCUAUCUCAAUAACUUCCUCUUCUGCUUUUCUUUUGCUCCUUGUCACAACAACUUUACACUCCUCUUUAGGAUUAACAUCAGUAUUAGCCCUAAAUUGAUUCUUUUCUGUGAUCUCUACCCUCUGUGACAGUUGACCAAUUUGCAUCUCCAAAGAUCUGAAACUGGCUUGGUUACUUGCCUGUUGAGAUGCAUAAACCUUCAAAAAUUUAUCAAAUCUCUCACUAAAGCCUCUAACAUUCUCUGUCAACUGACUCACCUGUUGCCACAAAGGUGAAGGUUGCUGCUGCCUGUUAUUAAAGAAGCCUCCUGAUUGCCCAUAUGGGUUACUCUGAGAUUGUCCAAUGCUAGGAUGGUUCUUCCAACCUAGCUAGAAUUGCCUUGGUUGAAGUUCCCCUGCCUAUACUGGAAUUAGUUACCCAUAUAUAUUGCUUCCUGCUGCAUAUUUUCUAGCACAACACAUUGACCAUUGAUAUGGUCACCACCACAGAAGUCACAAAGUUGUUGUGCAUUAGAUACAUUCUUAAUCUCUUUAAGAAGCUGAGAAAGGAUCUUUGUCAAAUUGUCUACCUUUUGAGUCAGAAGAUGAUUCUGAGCUAGCAUGGCAUCAUCUGCAGGCAAAUGCAAAACUCCCCUCUUCUGCACAGGUGUGCCCCUUUAACUGUAUGUCUCCUGCUCAUUAGCAGUCAUACUCUCAAUCAAGUCGUAGGCUUCAUCUUCAGUCUUCCUCUUGAUAUCACCUCCAGCUGAGACGUCCAACAUCAUUUUUGCCCUGUUUAAAUGAGGAUAUUUCUAACCUUCCCUGAGUGACUUUGGACUGCGGAAAAUAUUUGUUCACAAACUUUGCUGCCACAGUCUCCCACGUAGUAAAUGUUCCUUCUGGAAAGGAGUUCAACCACGUCUUAGCACUGCCUCCCAAUGAGAAAGGAAACAGGCUAAGCUUUACUCGUUCAUAUGAUACUCCAUUCAUCUUGACAGUAUUACAAAUUUCACUAAACGUUGUCAAGUGAUCAUAGGGGUUCUCAUUUGACAAACUAUGAAAUUGAUUACCCUGUACAAGAUGAAUCAACGCAGGAUUCAUCACCAUGUUGGUUGUAUUAUCAGUCGGCAUGGCUAUACUGGUGAAGUGGAAUGGGCCCACAACAUUAGAAGCAUCUCCAAGAGUGCAUCUGGGAGGUGUUUGCUCAUGUGCCAUCUCUUCAGAAUUUUCUGUACGAGCUUCUGGUGAGGGUUGCAACAAUCUUUCAGGAGAAGGAAACAAAUCCCUAGAUGGGUUUCUAACUCUCCUUCCUCUCUAAUCUGAAAUUCCUUCAAGAAGCGAUUGUUGGCUUUUCUUACUCCUAGUAUGUAUAGCUUCCUGCAUACACAAGAAACAAAUUCCCUAGAAGCACUUUUUAAAAAAUAAUAAAAAUAAAAACAAUAAAACAAAAACACAAUAUAUACAAACAAGUCAAAUUCAAUCAAUUUACAUUACUAGAAAAGUUAAACCACGAGCCCCCGACAACGGCGCCAAAAACUUGUUCAGUCCCUAGCAAGUGUACCAGAUCGUUAUCAAGUAAUAUAAAACGGGUAAGUCCGGGUAUCAUUUUCCCAAAGACCUCUUAGGCCUUAACUUUCAUGUAAAUUGAUAUUACGAGACUUGUAAAGAUAUAAAUCUUGUGGGUGAAUGCAAAAACGAAAAUAAACAUGCAAAUGCAAGUGAUUCAAUUGGCAAGAAAAGAUAUGAAUGAAUGGAGUUGUUGGGGUUUACAAUUUCAUCUUAUCCACUCUCUUUUAUCUACUCUUCUUAUUAAUUAGCUUUAUUAUCUAAUUGUCAUGCAAACUUUCUUAGUCUACCCCAAACUCGAAUCCUCGGCGAGAAAAGCCUACUACUAAUUAUUGACUUACUAUUCCUAGUCUCCCCUAGCAAUUAGCAAUGCAUGUAUCACGGAAGCAAAAUACAAUUGAUCGUCCUACCCCUAUCCCUAGGUGGUGUUGCUUAAUCAAGGAAUUCCCUAUCAGUUCAUGACUUCCCCGUACGUUCCCGUAUUGAUAAAGGCAAACUUCUUUAUAUCGAAUGAGUUAAACGAUAAAAGCUUUGAGCAUAGAUAAGAAACCCAACAAUUGAUAAUUUAAGCAUAUGCAAGCAUAUAAAUAUAAUAAGAAUUUCAAUAAAAGAGACUUUCAAAAGAUUACAUUGUUCCCCAACAACAAAAGGUUUAGUUCACCAUAGACAUGGUGAAACUAGAUGAAAUACAAUGAAAGAAUGGAAGAAUAAACCCUAAAUUUGAUAGAUUGGAGCCUAAGCAUCCAAGGAAUCUCCUCCAAGGUGUGUCAAACAGCUCUGGACGUCUUCUUCUGCCAAAAGAAUAUGAUUUGAAUCGCACUGGGGCUAUUUAUAGAGCACAAAAGUAACAGAAUUUAAGCCCAAGCCCAGCAGAUAACCGCUCAGCGUCACAUUUUACCGCUCAGCGGUUUCCCUUCAGUCGCGCCACCGCUCAACGGUCAGUCUCACCGCUCAGCGGUUUGCCUCCAACCGCUCUGGACGCUCGUGGUUUAACUUUUCUAGUAGUAUAAAUUGAUUGAAUUUGACUUAUUUGUAUAUAUUGUGUUUUUGUUUUAUUGUUUUAUUUUUAUUUUUAUAUAAAAAAGUGCUUCUAAGGUAUAUGUUUCUUGUGUAUACAGGAAGCUAUACAUACUAGGAGUAAGAAAAGCCAGCAACUGCUUCUUGCAGGAAUUUCAGACAGGAGGGGAAGGAGAGUUAGAUGCCCAUCUAGGGAUUUGUUUCCUUCUCCUGAAAGAUUGUUGCAACCCUCACCAGAAGCUCGUACAGAAAAUUCUGAAGAGAUGGCACAUGAGCAACCACCUCCCAGACGCACUCUUGGAUAUGCUUCCAAUGUGUUGGGCCCAUUCCACUUCACCAGUAUAGCCAUGCCCACUGAUAAUACAACCAACAUGGUGAUGAAACCUGCAUUGAUUCAUCUUGUACAGGGUAAUCAAUUUCACGGUUUGUCAAAUGAGAACCCCUAUGAUCAUUUGAGCACGUUUAGUGAAAUUUGUAAUACUGUCAAGAUGAAUGGAGUAUCAGAUGAACGAGUAAAGCUUAGCCUGUUUCCUUUCUCAUUGGGAGGCAGUGCUAAGACAUGGUUGAACUCCUUUCCAAAGGGAACAUUUACUACGUGGGAGACUGUGGCAGCAAAGUUUGUGAACAAAUAUUUUCCGCAGUCCAAAGUCACCCAAGGAAGGUUGGAAAUAUCCUCAUUUAAACAGGGCAUGGAUGAGACUCUUGGUCAAGCCUGAGAAAGAUUUAAAGGCUUAUUAAGGAAGACACCAGUCCAUGGUUUUGACAAGACUACUUUAGUUCUUGCAUACCUUGGAGGUUUGAACACUCAGACUAAAAUGAUGCUUGAUGCCGCAGUUGGAGGUGACAUUAAAAGGAAGAAUGAGGAUGAAGCUUAUGACUUGAUCGAGAGUAUGGCGGUAAAUGAACAGGAGACAUACAGUGAGAGGGGCGCACCUGUUCAGAAGAGGGGAAUUUUACAGUUGCCUGCAGAUGAUGCCAUGCUAGCUUAGAAUCAUCUUCUGACUCCAAAGCUAGAUAAUUUGACGAAGAUCCUUUCUCAGCUUCCUAAAGAGAUUAGGAAUGUCUCUAAUGCACAACAACUUUGUGAUUUCUGUGGUGGUGACUAUAUUAAUGGUCAAUGUGCUGUGCCAGAAAAUAUGCAGCAGGAGGCAAAUUAAAUGGGGAACCAGUUCCAGUGUAGGCAGGGGAACUUCAACCAAGGCAAUCCUAGCCAAGGUUGGAAAAACCAUCCUAGUAUUGGACAAUCUCAAAAUAACCCAUCUAGGCAAUCAGGAGGCUUCCUUAAUAAUAGGCCACAACAACCCUCACCCUUAUGGCAACAGGUAAAUCAUUUGACAGAGACUGUCAGAGACCUAAAUGAUAGAUUUGACAAAUUUUUGAAGGUUUAUGAGUCUCAACAUUUAGUUGACCAGUCCAGUUUCAGAUCUUUAGAGAUGCAAAUUGGUCAAUUGUCAAAAAGGGUGGAGACCACAGAAAAGAACCAAUUUAGGGCUAAUACUGAUGUUAACCCUAAAGAGGAGUGCAAAGUUGUUAUAACUAGGAGUAAAAGGAAAGCUGAAAAGGAAGUUAUUGAAAUUAAGAGUAGUAAAGAGGAAGAAGAAAAGAAGAUUAUUGAGCUGAGUAGUAGUGAGGGUGAUGAAGAAGAACAGGAAAUUUCUAUCCAACCAAAAAAGAAGAUGCAUCCGCUAAAAUUGAAGGAUCCAGGGUGUUUGACUUUGCCAUGCAUCAUUAAUGAUGUUGAUGUAGGAGGAGCUAUGAUAGAUUCUGGAUCGAGUAUUAAUAUGAUGCCUUUGCGUUUUUUGAAAAAAAUUGGAGGGCUAGUAUUAAAACCAUCUGAACUUUCUCUAACAGUGGCGAAUGGUUCAACUAAGAAACCAUAUGGUAUGGUGGAGGAUGCGAUUGUGCGUAUUGAGCAGAUGGAGUUCUUGAUUGAUUUUAUGGUUGUGGAUCUGGAGAAUGAUGAAAAGAUUCCAAUGAUUCUGGGAAGACCUUUUAUGGCAACUUCAAAAUUGCUUUUUAGUGUUUAUAUCGGGAGGAUCAUACUAAAAGAUCAAGAACAGGGGUUGUUGUAUGAUGGCUAUAAAGAGAAAAUGAGAGAAUAAGGAAGAGAGCCAGACACAAAAAGUCCAGAAAAGAUGUUGCAUCUAUAGAAAACACAAGUACUAGUUUUGAUAGUUGUAAUGUUUUGCAGGUGCUUGUAUGUGAAAAAGGACGAACGAUCCAUCAUGAAGAAAAAGAAGACUCAUUCCGACCAGGUAUAAAGGUGAAGUACAAAAAGAAGGAGUAGGUGAUAAAAGAGCUGAAAGAGAAAGGAGUGGUGGAGAUUGAACCACCAUACUUUAGACGUACUAAAAAGGUGGACAGAAGAAAACUGAGGAUUUGGUGUACUAGAGACACCAAUACAAAAGAGAAGACUUGAUUGUUGGAUGAAUAAAUUUUGUUGUAAAACAUUCUUUAUUUUAUUUAUUAUUUUGGACAUAUAAUUUUUGGAUAUUUAAAUAAUUUUUGAGUAGCAUCUACUGAAGGAUGCUAAUUUUUAUGUAUCUACUGAAGGAUACAGGUAAGCACACCUACUGAAGGGUACUGGGAAGCACUUACUGAUGAGUGCUAGACAGGUUUGGGUCAGGCUCGUGACGUUAAACAAGCGCUACCUGGGAGGCAACCUAGUUGAUUAUUUCUUGUUUUUAACUCUGUUCUAAGUGCAUUAGAUGGUUGAAUGUUGCAUUUGAGAGGGGAAAGGCAUGAAAUUAAAAAAUUGAAGGUUGAAAACAAGUGCUACAGGGUUGAUCUUUCACACUCACCGUUGAGCAGUGCAUUUUGCUGCUGAGCGGUGGCGGCGCAGACCACACUUGGGCUUUUAAAAUCUCAGCGUUUUUGGUGGUCCUGCACUUUUGAAACUCCUCUUUGAAGCUCGCUUAAGUGUUCUCUGUGAACCCUAGCAUCUAAUUUUCACUUUCAAAGGUUUUCCAAAGAGAUUUCCUAACUUUUUCUCAUCACUCAUUCACAAAAACCUUAUUUUAUACCAUUCUCUUGUCAAAAGUUUGGGGUUUUUGGUGAGAGCUUUGCAUCGGGAGGCAUUCAUCAUCAAUUGGAAGGAAAUCUUGCAAGCAUUUAGUAUCUCCACUCAAGUAAGUUGUGCAAUUUCAUUCCUAGGGUUUCUAAAUUUGAAAAUUAAUGAAGAACAUGUGUAGGAAUAUGAUAAAUUAGGGCUUUUGAUUUCUAUGCAUGAUUUGAUGAAAUAGAAACUGUUUGAACCAAUUGAAUUGCAUAAAUUUGGUCUGGAAUGAUGAAAUUAGUGAUAGAGUGGAGAUUAGGACACUUUGAAAAAAGAUUUUGAAAAACCCUUGUUGCCGCCGCUGAGCGGUCUGUUUUGACGCUGAGCGGUGGCAUGGCAAAAGGCAAACCGCUAAGCGGUCUCCUUGGACGCUGAGUGGUCUGCAAUAGUUUUCUGUUGAUGCUUGAUUUUCUGAUACAGGGACGCUGAGGGGCCUUGUUUUUCCCUCAGUGUUAGCCUGUACUUGGUUUGGAAUUUGAUUGAUGAUGUGCUAACCUCUAAUGAUGAAUUCAUGUGGUCUUUUUGAACUUUAUUUUAUGCAGGAAUGUCAUCAUCAUCUAGAAGGGUGAAAACUCCUGGCAACAAGAGGAAGGAGCCUGAGAGGCCAUAGAGAUUCUAUUCUCCUAGGUUCCUCUCUAAGCAUGAAGAACGCCAUGUGACGGUGCAAGAGAGAAGAUUACUGAUGGAAAGGAAGCCCACUUUUAUCCCAGACUUGGCUCCUGAGGUUGGAAUAGAGAUCAUGAGGAGAGAUUGGGAAAGGCUGGCCACAUAUCCUGCAUAAGCCAACAUUGAAUUGGUGAAGGAAUUCUAUACAAAUGCCUUGACCAGAGGAGGAGUAUCAGUUGGGAGAUACAUGAGUUAUGUUAGGGGACGGAUUAUCCAGUAUGACCCUAACACCAUCAACAGUUUCUUCGGCACUGAGCGGCCAGGUGAGUAGUGCUAGUAUGCAGCCCAUGUAGGGGGGUACAGGGACAUUGCAGAUAUUGAAAGGGUUAUGUGCCUUCCUAGAAGGCAUUUUCAGAACAACCCUAAUGGAGUGCCUGUCGACAUCAGAACAACCUGACGCCUUUGGCGAAAUAUUGGAUGGCAUUCACUCAUGCCAACAUUCAGUCAUGCUCCCAUGUUUUCGACAUCACCAUGCACAGGAUCAUCUUCAUCUACUGCAUGCUGAGGCAGUUGGAUGUGAAUGUCGGGAAGGUUAUUACUGAUGAGAUUCAAAGCUGCGCUAUUAUUGUGAGUAGUAGGACACCGUUGGGACAUCCAUCCCUGAUUACCUUCUUGUGUCAGCAGGCUGGGGUGGAUACUGCAGUUCAACCAUAUGAGAGGCCUCGGAAGGCCAUAGAUGCUUCUUACUAUCAGCAGUAUUGUUGUUAAAUCCCUGGCAAGUGUACCAGAUCGUUAUCAAGUAAUAUAAACGGGUAAGUCCGAGUAUCGUUUUCCCAAAGGACUCUUAGGCCUUAACUUUCAUGUAACNNNNNNNNNNNNNNNNNNNNNNNNNNNNNNNNNNNNNNNNNNNNNNNNNNNNNNNNNNNNNNNNNNNNNNNNNNNNNNNNNNNNNNNNNNNNNNNNNNNNNNNNNNNNNNNNNNNNNNNNNNNNNNNNNNNNNNNNNNNNNNNNNNNNNNNNNNNNNNNNNNNNNNNNNNNNNNNNNNNNNNNNNNNNNNNNNNNNNNNNNNNNNNNNNNNNNNNNNNNNNNNNNNNNNNNNNNNNNNNNNNNNNNNNNNNNNNNNNNNNNNNNNNNNNNNNNNNNNNNNNNNNNNNNNNNNNNNNNNNNNNNNNNNNNNNNNNNNNNNNNNNNNNNNNNNNNNNNNNNNNNNNNNNNNNNNNNNNNNNNNNNNNNNNNNNNNNNNNNNNNNNNNNNNNNNNNNNNNNNNNNNNNNNNNNNNNNNNNNNNNNNNNNNNNNNNNNNNNNNNNNNNNNNNNNNNNNNNNNNNNNNNNNNNNNNNNNNNNNNNNNNNNNNNNNNNNNNNNNNNNNNNNNNNNNNNNNNNNNNNNNNNNNNNNNCCCUAUCCCUAGGCGAUAUUGGCAUAAUCAAGGAAUUUCCCACCAGUUCAUGACAUUACCGUACGUCCCCAUAUUGAUAAAGACAAACAUCAUUUACUGAAUGAGUUAAACAAUAAAAGCAUUGAGCGCAGAUGAGAACCCAACAAUUGAUAAACAAGUAUAUGACAAGCAUAUGAAAUAAAUAAGAAUUUCAAUAUAUAUGAGAGUUUCAAAAGAUUACAUUAUUCCCCAACAACAAAGGGUUUAGUUCACCAUAAUCAUUGUGAAACUAGAUGAAAAUAAUGAAAGAAUGAAAGAGAUAACCCUAAACUUGGUUGAAUGGAGCCUAAGCAUCUAAGGAACCUCCACCAAGGUGUAUGGAAUAGCUUUGGACGUUCUCUCUGCCAAAAGAAUUCCUAUUUAAUUCGCACUGGGGCUAUAUAUAAGCCCAAAAAGAUAACAGAAAGAUCUACAUAAUCUAGCUAAAAAAACAAACAACCGCCCAAGCGCCUAAUUUGACCGCUCAGCGGUUUGCCUCUAGCCGCUCUGGCCGCUCAGCGGUCAGUUUUGCCGCUGAGCGGUUUCCCUCUAAUUACUCUGAGCGCUCAACAGACCAUUCUGGCCUUCAGCGGCUUGUUUGACCCUUCUUUUCAUCAUUUUUCUCCUUCUUUCAUGGGUCUAAGUCCACCUUACUUCACUUCCAUCUUUAUUUCAUCCAAAAACCCUGCAAAACAAUGCAAAUCAAGCAUAAUAUCUCUAAAACCAACUUUUGACUCUCAAGAGACUCAACUUAAGUGUUUUACUUGAUUUAAAGCUCAUUCUAAGCCAUAAAGGGUGUGUUUUACUAUCAAAUUUAAGUAUGAAAAUAAUGACUUUUAGACCGUUAUCAACUGUGCAGAGGAGGAGGCAGCUAGAGCAGCACCUAGGAGACGUCUUAGGAGAGCAGCAGUGUAGUAGGAGGAUACACCUGCAGAUGCACCAGCGCAACAUGCCGAGCCGUUUUAGAUGAGGGACAUGUAUAUGUCCAUGAUGGAAGCUAGGAUGGAGUCUCUCCGUAGAGGGCAGGUCGCGACUACCGAGAUGAUAGUGGGGCUGUAUGAGCAGCCACCAGUGCAUAGGUGGACUAUGGACGAGUUCCAUAGUGCUAUGGCUUGGCCUCAGGAGCAUGCACAUGGUAGAGGGUCUAGAGCAGUUGAAGCACCAGGCAGAGAUGAGGAUGACCAGGAGGAUGAUCUCUUUUAUUUUAAGUCUUAAUUAAUCUUGUUUUCACACAACUGUUCAGCGUUGAGAGUCCUCUGGGAUACGAUACUUGGUCUUACCAUUUUAAGUCUGUCGAUUUGCCCCAACAGGAGAUUGUGGCAUCUAAAUUCCUGAGUAAAUACUUUCCACAGUCAAAAAUUAGCCAAGGAAAGUUGGAGAUUUCUUCUUUCAUACAGGGUAUGGAGGAAACCCUAGGGCAAGCAUGGGAAAGAUUUAAUGGAUUGAUGAGAAAAACGCUAGUACAUGGGUUUGACAAAACAACUUUGGUCCUUGCAUUCCGUGGAGGCCUUAGUACAGUCUAAGAUGAUGUUAGACGCUUAAGCUGGAGGCAAUAUUAAAAGAAAGACUAAGGACGAAGCUUAUGAUUUGAUUGAAAGCAUGGCUGCAAAUGAGCAGGAGACUCAUAGUGAAAGGGGUGCAACAUCUCAAAGGAGGGGAGUUCUCCAUUUGCCCACUGAAGAUGCAUUGUUAGCUUAGAAUAAGCUCCCCACUCAACAAAUUGAUAAUUUGUCAAAGAUUCUUGCUCAACUUCCGAAGGAGAUAAGGAAUGUGUCUCAAGAACAACAACUCUAUGAUUUUUAUGGUGGUGACCAUAUUAAUGGUCAAUGUGUCGCACCUGAAGAGGCACAAGAAGAGCGCUCACUGGGAGGCACCCCAGUAAUUGUUGAACAUUAUUUUUAUUUUGGAUUAUUUGGACUUGUAAUUUUUGGAUUUGUAAACAAUUUUUGAGAUGUGAUAGUUUUAUCUCUUUACCACUCCAUACCUCUUCUGGUAUUUUGUGCUCCAAUGGAACCGACGGACCUCGGUUGAUUAAGUAAGUUGUUGUGUUGACUACUUCUGCCCAAAAUUUCUUUGGUAAGCCUGAUUGCAAACGUAAGCUUCUGGCUCUCUCUGUCAACGUUCUAUUCAUACGUUCUGCCACACCAUUGUGUUGAGGCGUACCUGGCACGGUCCUCUCCAUUCUGAUCCCGUGCUCAUAGCAAAACUUUUUAAUUUAGUGUCUUCAUAUUCACCACCAUUAUCUUAUCUAAGCUUUUUUAUCUUUAAUCCUGUCUCAUUUUCUACCAUGGCUUUCCAAAUUUUGAAAGCUUCAAAUACUUCUGACUUAUAUUUAAGAAAGUAUGUCCAUACCUUCCUAGAGUGGUCGUCAAUAAAGGUCACAAAGUAUCGCUUACCACCAAUGGAUGAGACGGUAGUUGGACCCCACACAUCAGAGUGAACAAGCUCAAGUCUCUCUUUCUUUGGGAUUCUUCCACUUCUUUGAAAGCUUACUCGUUUUUGCUUUCCAAGUAUACAGUCUUCACACAUGUCAAAUUCUAUUGACUGAAGACUUGGUAGUUUCCCCUUUGAGUGCAUGAUCCUCAUCCCUUUCUCACUCAUAUGACCUAACCUCUGGUGCCAUAGGUUAGGAUUUCCAUUCAUUGCAACUGCAAUCAAAUGACAAGCUCCUUCUGUCUUGUAGAGAGUACCACUCUUCCUACCACGAGCAAUUGUCAUUGCACCCUUUGAAAUCUUCCAAUUAUCACCAUGGAAGACUGUUGUGUAGCCAUCAUUGGCCAAUUGGCCUACUGAGAUUAAGUUCUUUGUUAGGUCGGGAAUAUGUCUAACAUUUUUUAAUUCCCAUACAGACCCAUUUAACUUAAUCUUCACCACACCUUUACCAGCAAUCUCACAAGACUGUUCAUUACCAAGGUAAACUUUUCCAAGGUUUCCAGGAACAUAAUUCUCGAAGAAUUCUUUCUGUGAGGUGGCAUGAAAGGAUGCUCCAGAGUCUAGCACCCAAGACUCUUCCUUGUUCUCUAANGAACAUAUCAAUGCAUCUUCUCCUCCUGAGGUUGAAGCAACAUUUGCUUCUACUUUAUCCUCGUGAUUCUUCCGUGCACUCUUGCACUGGUUUUUGUAGUGUCCCACCUUUCCACAAUUCCAACACUCAAUUGUCUUUGAGUUUUGGAAACUACGGUGAUUCUUAGAAUUAGACCUUCUUUCCUUGGAUCUUCCACGUCCAUAUCCUCUGUUCGAACUUCUUCCUCUUAACUCUGUAUGCAAAACUGAAGAGGUUGAAGAUUCUCCUGACUCUUUCCGUCGAAUCUCUUCACUAAGAAUCAGAUCACGAACAUCAUCAAACUUUAAUUUAUUACUGCCUGAUGAGCUACUCACAGCUGUGACUGUAGCAUUCCAACUUUCCGGUAGAGAAGACAAAAGUAUCAAAGCUCGUACUUCAUCAUCAAAUUCGAUUCCAACUGAACUCAAUUGAGUUGUGACUAUAUUGAGUUCAUUAAGAUGUUGCGCUACCAUUGCGCCAUCUGACAUCCGCAAAUUAAAUAACCGCCUCAUCAAAUGAACUUUGUUUGAGGCUGACGGCUUUUCAUACAUACUUGAAAGAGCUGUCAUAAGACCCACUGUGGGUCUUUUCUUUUGCAAUAUUAAAUGCAACAUUGCGGGAUAAUGUUAAUCGAAUAACUCCGAGAGCUUGUCGGUCGAGAAGAGUCCAAUCUUCAUCCUUCAUGUUUUCUGGUUGAUGCCCUGAGAGAGGUUGAUAUAGCUUUUUCUGAUACAAAUAAUCUUCAAUCUGCAUCUUCCAAAAGCCAAAGUCCGUACCAUCGAACUUCUCAAUUUUUAUCUUUCCUUCAUCUGCAGCCAUUUCUCCCACUUAAAUCUGACUCCCUUUGAACCGUUGAUUAUAAUAAUAGCAACCGGCUCUGAUACCAGUUGUUAUGAAAUUAUGCACAAUUCCUCUUAAUCAGAUUUGUGAGAAAAAUAUAAAUGCGGAAUAAUGACACUCAAAAUAAAACUCUUUAGAUUUCACUGCAAAUGUAUUAAUGAUAAAAAAUAAAAUUACAAUAUCACUUUUUCUCUCUUUCUUUAUUUCUACUCUGCGUUUCUCUUCUUCUUCUCUACGCAUUUUAUUAUCUAUUCUUUUUCUUAUAUAUAUAUUAACUUAUUUUCUAUUUAAUUUGUUGAUUUCCUUAAUCUUCUCCCCUUCAUAGAUUUUCAUUGGAUAAAAUCCCUUUUGACCAAUUCUAACAGUAAAAUGAUUUUCAUCCAAAUCAACAACACUAUUAAACAGAAAGUCCGCAAAAUCUUUUUUUCCUUCAGCAAACACUAUCUUUCCAUUAGAUUUUCUCUGCAUUAUCUUCACUAUGAUUUUACCACUGUCAUUUGCUUUAAAAUCAGAGGGAGCGAUUCUUUUCCUAAUAUCUCUCAGGGAAGUUUUUCUAAAAACAAAUAUGUCAAAAUUGUCCUUGAGCACAAACAACAUUUCAACAUAUCUACUACCUGUAAAAAGAAAAAUUCGAAGAAUAAUCAUCACAACCUUAAAUCAGCUGUUCAUAAUUAAACGAUAUGAUGAUUAAUGCCUUAUUUGCACUGCAUAGAAAACUCUGUUUUACAGAACAUAAAUGUAAUGUACUAAGCAGCUUCAAGGAAUGGAAGGAACAUGUAUACCACAUCGGCACAAAUAAAAUCAAGCUCUUUACUAAAAUUUUCUUUGCGCUUCUACAACUCCCAACAGUCUAGUUGUUAAUUGCUACUGUUUUAUUAUGUCAUCUAUGUUUAGUUCAGUAGAUUGACAGUGGCAAUAAUAGUUUAGAUGGGUGAUAAUAUAUUAUUAGAAUAUUUAAGAAUAAAAGAUCCAACUAUAUAUAUAUAUAUAUAUAUAUAUAUAUAUAUAUAUAUAUAUAUAUAUAUAUAUAUAUAUAUAUAUAUAUAUAUAUAUAUAUUAGAAUAAUUCACCAUAAACAUAAAAACAUAUUUUUGAAUAACUUAUCUCGAUUCCCAAGCAAAAGUGUUCAUCAAAGUAAAAAAAGAAUUUGAAACCUGCAGGGAACGCUCUAUCUAGUACAGAUCACAUUAUACCAUGUUUCAAUUUUGGUUCAUUACAUCCAAUAUCUAAUGCAUGCAUGAUAAUAUAGCUCAAGAAAGGUGAAAUUGGGAAAAGGAAACUUCGUAAAGAUGCCAACACUGCAUUCCAUGGCAACCUUGGCAAGCAACAAAUCAUCCGCUAGCAACCUCUCCUUAAACCAUCCGAAAUUCAAUAACCAUCGGAACACCGCCGAUUUUUCCAGCUCGAAGAACCUCUUCAAAAUCGACCCUGGCUAAAUUUGCCGACAAUUUCUCCAACGACCGCCCAGCCUUCGCGAGAACAAGGAGCACCUCCUCUCCGUUUCGAUCCCUGUCUUUCGAUUCCCCGUCAUCUCCUCCUCCUCCACCUCCUCCAUGCCCUCCUGCGGUCCCUCUGAUGCAAUAAUGAAGGUUGCGGGAGAUCGAACAUAUGUGAAUAAAGGAUCGUAGGCAUAAGAGUUGUCUCCACUGUGUGUUGUCACCGCCUUUACCGUCAUGCGUUGUCGCCAUAGACUCCACUGUGUGUUGCCAUUGUUGUGGAGCUCUUCAUAGCAAACGUUUGUCCAGAAGAAAAUGGGAUGUCGAGGGUGAACAGAGAAAACUGGGGUUUUGAGGGCUAACCCGACCCUAAUAUAAUCCCACCCCAUUUUCUGGGGCUGUGGGGCUAGGGGCUUUUGAAAAGCCCCCUCAAAUGUAGGUCAAACAAAAUGAGGCUCUGAUGGCAUACUGCCUCAUGUAUUUCUUUUACUUUUAGUGUACAUGUAAUCUACUUCUCCUGGAGCACGGGUUAUUAUAAAUACAUGUCUCCACCAUUAUAAACACAACUUUUGAGUAAAUGAAUUGUAGUUUAUUGAGAAAAGCUCCAGAACAAUUCUCUCUGAAAGUUCAUGCUAGAGAGUCUGAAUGAACCGCCUCUAGCCACCUUCUGGCCACACUUCUUUCAUUUCCAUUUUCCAAUUUCACGUGCUUCCACAUUUUCUCUCUCCUCCACUAUGCAUUCUCAUCAGCCGCCACGUCUUCAGCAUUUUGCUCUAUCAGCGCAUACAUCUCGCACAUACGCGACUUUCUCUCAUUUGCCUUGCGUCCUCCUCGCGUCUUCCUUUGCUGUUGAGAGAGCUCUCCAUCCGCCAUCACGGUUAGUCACAAAAUCACAUCUCUCUCGCAUUUCUUCCUUGCUUCAGUUUCUUCCAUCAUAGAAAUUAUUCUUCUACCAUUUCUUCGAACUUCCACCGAUCAAAACCCUUUUUUCACCCUUUCCGUCCAUUUCACCGAUUGAAAACUAGUUUCCACCGACUAAAUACCUUUAAUCGCCUAGAUCUUCACUUUCGACCGAUUAUCCAAGCCUUUGAACCAUUUAAUCGGUUCGUUUUACAUUUUCCUCUUUUUCUAGGGUUUCCUUCGAGUCAGCCUUAGAUUUAGAGUCUAUUCUUCUUUUCCGUUGUGUCAUAUUCUAUCAUGGAAGCCUCGAGGGUCCCGAUCUGCUUCGAGUGUUCCUCCCUGCACCUCACCUCCUUCUUCCUGCACCUCCAAAUUUACUCAUUUGUCCUUUAUUUAAUAAAUUCAAAAUAUAAUUAAUGAUUAUUUAAUUAUAUUCCAACCUCCGUGCACCCCCCACACUCUCUUCGCGGUUCCUAUCAGCAUUCACUUUUAUAGCAUUUCUUUGGCAUUUAGUUUUACUGUUUGAUAUACAUUGCUAUUUCUGUUUCUGAUCCAUGGUGUGGUGGUGCUUGCUGGUCGUGGUAAUACUUGGUGGUGGUGAUCUCGAUAUUGGAGGAGAGGAAGAAGAAGAAGAGACAGUUUGUGAAAGUUGCAAACUGCAUUUCGCUUCAGCCGUGGUGAGAAGCGCGUUUCGCUUCAGUCGCAAUGCGAACUGCAGAAAACGAAGAUGCACCCAAAAUAAACCAACCGCAAAUCCACCUGCGGUUGCAAUCAACUGCCUAAUCGAGCUGCGGAGGCACCAGAUCCGCACUUCCUUGUGCGGCAAGUGUUAACUGCAGUUCAUGCACCCUCUGUAGGGACAAGGGUUGAAUCCGCAUCUCCAUCAACACCCUAUUCUCCUCCUCUAACCCCAUCGUCUUUCUCCGGCACCCCACCCUCAUAAAUUGUUCCAGAAAAAUCUAACAACAUUCCUUCAA
RNAcentral lists this long non-coding RNA (39759 nucleotides) under Vigna radiata. RNAcentral's name for it is "long non-coding RNA (VRAD_LNC016404)". The record is from RNAcentral. Lineage: Eukaryota; Viridiplantae; Streptophyta; Magnoliopsida; Fabales; Fabaceae.